Non-coding RNA from Oryctolagus cuniculus (rabbit), 647 nucleotides. The record is from RefSeq and is a predicted model, not a curated record. Lineage: Eukaryota; Metazoa; Chordata; Mammalia; Lagomorpha; Leporidae.
AGGCAAAGGCAAAGGCAAAGGCAGAGAGAGGUCUUCCAUCCUCUGGUUCAUUCCCCAAAUGGCUGCAACAGCUGGAGAUGGGCUGAUCUGAAGCCAGGAGCCAGAAGCCUCUUCUGGGUCUCCCACGCAGGUAAGGGGCCCAAAGGGCUUGGGCUGUCUUCUACUGCUUUCCCAGGCCAUGGCAGCUUGCUGGAUUGGAAGUGGAGCAGCCAGAACUGGAACUAGCACCCAUAUGGGAUCCCGGCAUUGCAGGGGUGGCUUUACCCGCUACACCAAAGCGCCAGCCCCCCAACAGCAUAACUUUCACGAUACAGGUUUCACUACAUUGUAAACAAGAACAUGGAUGCUCCAAGAAAGGACUGUUCUGAGUAAGAGCUGAGGACCCAGAGCCAAGACUGCUGCACGACCGUGGUCACCAACACAGUACAGGGGUGAGGCUCAUGGGAGGAUGUGGCAGGCUAAGCAUCGCGGUCCCAGGUCUGAGAUGCAUCCAGAAGACAGGGCCAGGGCCAGGAGCCGGGCACCCCAUGCACCUGCGGAGAAAGACAUGAAGGCCUCCUGCUUCACGAAGCGGCCCUGGGCGUCCAGGAAGUGUCCCGGGUGGAAGCGGAAGGGCUUCUCCCAGACGGCCUCGUCCUUCAGCACCG